CAGUGAGGUUUUGUCGGUCGUCAUUUGAAGUCUGAAAGACAGACACAUAGUAGAGUGGCAAGAUGGAAGCUCCUGAGUAGAAGGCAUAUGACAUGCAGCCCAAAGGACUCAGCUGAAGGAUUCCCAAGUCUGAUGAGACCAAAUCAAACUAUGAGGCCUGAAUACUAAAUGCUACGUAUGGCAAGAACAAGGUGCAACAACUAUUAGAGCAACAAAAGGUCAUCCUGUCUAUCUCCCCUGUCCCACAAACAUUCAACCUGAUGAGGUGGUCCUUUUUAAAUGGACACAGUUUGGAGUUCCUGGAAUUUCUUGCGAAUAUACAAUUAAUAAAAACUACACUGAAAACCAAAAAUGUAAACCAGAAUUCAACAUCAGGGGACAACCUCCCAGACUGUAUGUUGAAAACCCAGGGAGUAGCGAUUCUGGUCUUUACAUUUGUUUCACAACAAGAAUAGUGCCGCCACCCACCAUCGAGUUAAAUUACACAGUUGAUCUUCAAGUUACUGGCCCUCCAAAUAUAGUCCUAAAGAAGCAGAAGAGAAAUACUACCUGCGUUGAACUGCUUUGUAGUACAGAGUACCUUGACCCUGAGGAGGUCAAAUUUACAUGGAACCGAACACGUCAGGGAUUACCAGAGACACUGUUGACCACAAAAAGCCUCUUCUAUAUGAACAGCUCUCUGCCACUGUGUCAAUCCGACUGGAGAGAGGGCGACAUAUUCACCUGCAUUGUCAACCGCUUAGUCAAUGACACCAACCUGAGCGAGGAAAUCAGAAUAGACUGCAGUGAAAUAGAAACCUGCCGUUGGAACCCCACUCCUUUGGUCAUCAUCUGUGUGAGCUCACUCAUUGGGGUAGCAGCCAUCACAGCAGUAACCCUAACCAUUUAUAAAUGAAUGUGGUUGACUGUCUGUACGAUGUUCCCUACCCCCGUGACAAUAAACACCUGGGGCAGGAAGGAUAAGGUGGGGGGGACAGUCGGUCCUUUGGGUAAAACCUAUGUGACAUAAGAGAGCAGGGCAGUAUCUUACCAGAGCUCUUGUCAAUUGUAAUAAAUACUUUGACUGGACUGUGUUUCCUCGGAGAUUCCUCACAGGCCUGUUAUGAUGUGUCCUAAACCUCUCUCUAUUUGCAAAUAAACUUAAUCGUGCAA
Molecule: long non-coding RNA, 1152 nt
Organism: Esox lucius (northern pike)
Lineage: Eukaryota; Metazoa; Chordata; Actinopteri; Esociformes; Esocidae
Source: Ensembl